UACGUAGAGGGCAAGCGUUGUCCGGAAUUAUUGGGCGUAAAGAGCGCGUAGGCGGUCCGAUAAGUCGGCUGUGAAAGUCAGGGGCUCAACCCUUGGAAGCCGGCCGAUACUGUCGGACUAGAGUCCGGAAGAGGCGAGUGGAAUUCCCGGUGUAGCGGUGAAAUGCGCAGAUAUCGGGAGGAACACCAAUGGCGAAGGCAGCUCGCUGGGACGGUACUGACGCUGAGGCGCGAAAGCGUGGGGAGCAAACAGG
RNAcentral lists this ribosomal RNA (253 nucleotides) under uncultured bacterium. RNAcentral's name for it is "partial 16S ribosomal RNA". It matches the Rfam family "Bacterial small subunit ribosomal RNA", at positions 524 to 776 of the family's 1533-position model. The record is from RNAcentral.